Molecule: ribosomal RNA, 253 nt
Filed under: uncultured bacterium
Lineage: Bacteria
Description: partial 16S ribosomal RNA
Rfam family: Bacterial small subunit ribosomal RNA
Source: RNAcentral
UACGGAGGGUGCGAGCGUUGUUCGGAAUUACUGGGCGUAAAGCGCGUGCAGGCGGCCAACUAAGUCCGGUGUGAAAGCCCGGGGCUCACCCCCGGAAGUGCGCUGGAAACUAUUUGGCUAGAGUACGGGAGAGGGAAGCGGAAUUCCUGGUGUAGCGGUGAAAUGCGUAGAUAUCAGGAGGAACACCAGCGGCGAAGGCGGCUUCCUGGACCGAUACUGACGCUCAUGCACGAAAGCGUGGGGAGCAAACAGG